Molecule: long non-coding RNA, 969 nt
Organism: Eleginops maclovinus (Patagonian blennie)
Lineage: Eukaryota; Metazoa; Chordata; Actinopteri; Perciformes; Eleginopidae
Exons: 3
Source: RefSeq, a predicted model, not a curated record
UUCAGCAGCAGCACCUACAGUACGGAGGUCACGAUGGGUGCUUACCCCUUCCUGUAGUAAACUUAUGUCUCAGCAAGGCACGCCGUAUACAGUGAUUUUCAGAGUUUCUUUUAGCAUAAAAGAAAAUAAGCCUUUUAAAGCUGCAAUAACUGAGUUGGGUUUUUUGCCACUUGGAGGCAGCAGAUUUCAGCUUUUUUACACAUCCUGACGAUGUUAGCACCAAUUCUGCCUCUGGUUGAUGUACGGCGCUGUGAGAUUGGUCUUUAUCAGGAUUUAAAAUAUUCCAGCUGACUGAUUUCUGCCACUGGAGCAGACCAUCACCACACUCCACAUCAGAGGGCUCAUUCAUCGCUGGAUUUUCCUCUUUUCACCGUAGAGAACUAACAACUUAAUAUACCUUCUGUUAGACAGCAAUGCUAACACUGCAACCAAGAUGGCAUACAGCUGUCCAGACUUCAAAAUAAAGCAACAAACGGCAAAGUGCUAACUGUAUUCUGAAAGACAAUAACAAACAAGCAAACACACACUAAACUCGGCAUUACACCACACACUUUUAACCAUUUCAGGACUUGCCAGCUAAGCUAACAAAGCUAAGUAACCUCGCUGUUCAUUGACUUAACCUUACAAGGCUAAGUAAGCAUACAACUUCAAAGUGUUGUAAGUGUUGGAAUAUGUGUUAGUUUGUUUUUUUAAUCGCUGAGCUGUACUGUUUGAUCUGUUGUAAAGCGCUAUUGGGUAAUGUUAUGUGGUCACUCUCAGUUUAGAGAUUUUAAUUUUCAAAGUGCUUUAUGGAAUAUGUGGAUGGUUAAAUGUUGCAGAAGAGGGAUUUCAACAACCUCUAAAUAAGAAUCCCGAACUCCUUAAACCUUUUCAAGCCAAUGAUUCUGUUGUGUAUAGUUAUUAAUUAGAUUACAAAUAUGCUUUCCUAAUUCAUAACAUGACUUUAUGAAUACUACUUUCCAUAAGACU